RNAcentral lists this long non-coding RNA (656 nucleotides) under Citrus sinensis (sweet orange). RNAcentral describes it as "long non-coding RNA (CSIN_LNC000631)". The record is from RNAcentral. Lineage: Eukaryota; Viridiplantae; Streptophyta; Magnoliopsida; Sapindales; Rutaceae.
AAAAAACAGUUAGAAAGUGGAAGCUUCCAACACAGUGUUGAAGAUUGACGCAUUGUUUCUGAGAAAAAUCAAAUCCAGAUAUUGUUUGUAUGUACCAGUGAGACCUACGUUGGGGCUUGGGCGGCCACAACCCGAGACCGGACAAAAAUCAAUGAAAGAUAAAGGUCUUCGUUGAAAUUUAACCUAUUUCUUUAAAAAUUUUAUGUGUGAAUCUUUUAAGUUUAUAUAUUUAUUAUUUUGACUUCCUAAAGUUUAUUAUGUUUUUUUUUUUCUCCCUAUUCCGUAGAACCAAAUUUUGAUUCUGUAACCCUUGAUUCAUAGUGAAAAUACUUUGAUCUCGUCCGGACAAGAUAGCUGGACCUGUCUCGUCCGUAUAUAUGCGGACCACACCGGAACGUAGAGUCUAUUGUGACAGGAUAAUAGACGAAAUUACUCUCGGCAUGGGCCUCCUUCACAGACACAGGCCACUUCCCCUGAAUAGCAACAGGUGGUGUCUGGCCGCUGGCGUCAAGUCAAUGAUGUUUUACUGUAAGUAGUCAAAAAGUGAAAGAAAGAUGAGAAAUGAGUGAUAAGGUAUUCAAUGGAAAAAAGAAUGCGAAAGUGCUGAGAAAGCAGGCGAAAGAUGUGGUAGUGACUGAUGAAGGAUAUUCCGAAAC